Molecule: long non-coding RNA, 4660 nt
Filed under: Manihot esculenta (cassava)
Lineage: Eukaryota; Viridiplantae; Streptophyta; Magnoliopsida; Malpighiales; Euphorbiaceae
Description: long non-coding RNA (MESC_LNC000196)
Source: RNAcentral
UGAAACCCAGCUUUAAAUUCCAAUUAAUUUGAUCCUAUAUAUCUUUGCUAAUGGCUCUGUCAAAUCUCAUGGACAGGAAAAAUUGCGACGAUGUCUGGGCUUUCCAAAUUCGAUUUCGCUCACUUUGCUAUCCAAAAGAUAAGCACCAUUCUGUUUAAGCACCAUUCUGUUUCUUUUGUAUUCUACCUCGCCUAAUUUUUGCACAUUAAUGAAACUGCAUGUCAACAUGUUUUUUAAUGAAUGUGCUUAUCAUGAUAUUUGCCACUUAAAAGAAAAGUUAAUUAAUACCCACCGAUUAAAAUUUCAUCCUCUUUUAAACUCUGUGUGUAGCGGUGAAUAUAAAAGUAUGAGUGAUAAAAGCAACACAAUGGAAAAGCGAUGCAACCAUAAAAUUAAAAUUAAAUACAUUAAAAGCAACACAACCAUAAAAUUAAGAUUAAUACACAGAGUCCUUGUACAAAAACUAAAUACAAAAUGUAAAGUAGGAGAAAACUUAGGGAGGAGACAAAAAAAAAAAAAACCAAAGACAUAAGCUAUAAGGCCCAAAGCCCCGGCAAAACAACAAAAGGGCCACAAAAGGACAUUUGAUUCAAAACAGAUUGUCAUUCACCAAAUCAUUAACAAAAGACUUAAUAAUAUUCAAAGUUUUGGUUAGCCUUUGGACAUUUUGCUUCAACUUCUUAAAUUUAUAGGCCAAGGAAGCAUAUGAUGCUUGCAAGGCCUAUAAUUGACCUUAGCUAUCAAUGUACUUGGCUUGAAGGUCGACAAGAGCCUGUGUAUAGCUUUUUUUCACAACAGACAAUUCUCUGUAGUUAUAGUCAUGUAUUUCAAGUUCAUACACAGCUUUUAAAGCAUCCAAAGCUGAAAUUGUGGCUAUAUAUCUAGCCUCUUCCAUAUUCACAACAGUCAUCCCAAUUCUGUCAGCCAUAGCUUUACUCCCUUGUGAAUCAUGGUGCAAAAAAAUGCACUUAAUAUAAAAUUACCCUUCGUCUGUAGUCUCUAACUAGUAGAAAGGGGGCAGUAAACCCAGCUCAGAAAGGACUUUAAACAACAUGUUUUCAAGUGUAAUCCUAAUGAUCAUUGUUUAAAGAGGAAAAGAAAAAUAAAUAAAUGAAAAUAUGUGUGUGGAAAUCAAUAAAAACCUCAAUCUAAAGACAUUUCUAUAGCACAAACAGGCCAAUAACAAAGAUCACUAUCCAACCAAACGUCUUAUGCAAUUGAGUUUUUUUUAGACAAAUAGGUCGCUUAUAUUGCAAAAUUAUGUUUUUUGUAUAUAAAAAGGGCCUCAAUGAUGUAUAUCAAUGUAAAUUUCAUGCAAAGCCUACCAGCCUAAGUGUUCAUCUCAAUUUCCAGUUUUUUUAACACAUGUAUCCACAAUGGUUCCAAAAAAAAAGUAUUUCUAAUGCUGCAUUUACCAUUGAAUCCACCCCAUUCCUUUUCUACUUUUUGAAAUAGUUCAGAUCUAGUAGUCUGAGUUUCUUUAACACAGCAGAUGUCCAUAAUGUCUUUCAAUAUGGUUUGUCAUUGUUGAAGUUUCUAUAUAUAUAUAUAUAUAUAUCAAAUAGUUUUCACAUAUAAUAUGAAAGGCCUUUUAACUUUUUUGUUUUUGUCUCCAUUCAGCAGUUUCCAUUGAGUCAAACAAUAAUAGCUCUCGAUUGAAGUCAAAACAUUACAUAUUUCCAUAUAGACUAACAAAAGUGAGAGAAAACUAAACGAUGAGGAUAACUACCUCAGAACAAUAGUGAACAGAAAAGAGCUGCAAAAUAAAGAAUAAAAUAAAGAAGUAAAGUCAAUAACGAGGAAUACAACCACAAACAAAAUAAAUAAACAAUUAUAAGAGCAUUGAAUGAAAUAAAUUGAUGAGUUAUAGAAUAAAUAUGGUACCAGUUAAUGCAAAGCCUUCGAGCAUCUAUGAAAGAUUAAGGACAGGCAACUGCAAAAAGAAAAGGAAGAAUGCAUUUAAAGAGGGCUACAAUGAAGUAAAGGAGAAGCUGAGUUAAAAAAAAUAGAAGAAAGGAGAAAACUUGAGAGAAAAGAUGGCUGAAUGAAAAUGGGAAAACUAAAUUGAACAUACAAAUAAGAUGAGAGGCGUGAUUAGGGAAGGGAAGAGGCUGCUCAUCUUCUCUGCUGUUCUAAUCAUUUUCUCUAAUAAAAAAUUAAAAAAAUGGAAAUACUGACAGUGAAGUGACAGUAUUUUGGCUGGAUAAGUAAUCUCCUUGGGAACAGAAAGUGUAAACAGUGUUUUAUUGUAUAGAACCUGAACACAGGCAACCAAGAAGAUAUAAUUACACCUCGUUAAAGGUGUGAAGAAGCAGGCUGCAUUAAAUGCUCAAAAUAUCUAGGGGGCUUGUUGAAAAAUGGAAAGGGUUACAACAGUGCAAUGUUCAGAUCAUGGGCUGUGAUUAUCUCUUAAUAGGAUUUCAAUGCAUUUGUACCGAGGGACUCUGACUGAGAAGCCAUAUAUCUGUAACUCUUUUACUCGGGCUUCAUUUAAUGAAUGGAAGCUUCCAACGCGCAGAAAAAAAAGCUUGCUUAACUGUUAAUGAAUACUGAAUUAUUGCAAUCAUGCCUUAAAAUCACCUGUUUACACCAUUUCAGCAUCUCUAUAUGAAGUGCCUGUCAUUGAGUUGAAUCUUCUAAUGUCUAAGAAUUAAAAGUUCUUCAAUGACAAAUGAUUUAUUAUGUAUUGAUAUUAAUAUAGACUUCAGAAUGUUUUAUUAUAUAUUGAUAUUUUACAGAUUUGAAAACGCUAUAUGUAUGCAACCAUUGUGUUUAACUGAAUUCCCACUAUUUUAAUGAACACUGAAUUGUUGCAAUCAUGCCUUUAAAUCACCUGUUUAUACCAUUUCAGCAUCUCUAUAUAAAGUUCUUCUCAUUGAGUUGAAGCUUCUAAUGUCUAAGAAUUAAAAGUUCUUCAACGGCAAAUGAUUUAUUAUGUAUUGAUAUUAAUAUAAACUUGAUAAUGUUUUAUUAUAUAUUGAUGUUUUACAAAUUUGAAAAUGUUGUAUGUAUGCAACCAUUGUGUUUAACUGAAUUCCCACUAUUUUUGUCUCCCAUCACUGCCUUUUAAUGAGCUUUUAUUCUAGCAGGGAAAUAGGAAUAAAAAAGAGACUGAUGGAGCCAAGGAGGACAAAGCACACCGUCAUUUUGGUAAGGGAAGGAAGGAUUUGAAAACCACCAUUUUGUUGAUGAGUGUCCAGCAAGGCAGAAUUGAAUAAAGUUUAAAUAAAUUGCCGAAGGGUGCAGAUUGCACUGUGAAGUCUAGAUCAAUUGCCAAAAACCGUAGGUUGCACUGUUCAGGGCCUUGCAGUGAGCUUUCAUUCUAUCAGGGGAAUGGGAAGAAAGAAAAGAGAGGAUGGAGGCAGACGAAACACAUCGUCAUUUUGGUAAGGGAAGGAGGGUUCUGAAAUGGCACUGUUUUGUUGGUUAGUGCCGAGCAAGGGAGGACGUGGAAAGACUUAAAAACCAAGGGAGAAAAAGGGAGGAGAGCAUUUAGAAGGGCAAAUGCAUAAUUGAAUGAAUCCAAAAUCAAUUGCCGAAAUAUUGUAAAUCGUAUUGUUCAUAGGCUAACCACCCUUUAUUAUAUAGUUAUAGAUAUUAAUUUUAUUAAUUUUUUUCAAAACAUUCACCCAUUUGCUAUGGGGCAUGAUUUUUUUUUUUUUUUUACAGAAGGUAAAAGAUAUAUUGAUUAUAAAAAAAGUAUAUAAGGCCUAAGCCUAGAUACAAAUAGGCCCCUAGGUCCAAUAGAAGAGAAACAUAAUGAAGCCCUAAAACCUAGAGGCCCAACCCGAAAACUUGACCUGAAAGAGAAGAAGACCCGAAGGAAGCAAACCCUGCCAUGCCAUCUUCCUCUAAGCUACUCCAACCGCCAACAACAUAAAGUCGAUGGCUUAGAAAACUCCUGCAACAACAGCCAUUUCAGACUAUUCUUAGCAUACUAAAGCCCCAGGAGGUGAAGAGAGCGCCGACAGCCACAUGCAACCCAGAGAAAAACCUCGAGAAAUAAAAAAAAGCAAGAGAUCACAACCAUCAGAGCGAGAAAAGCAGGUGAUGAUGAUGAUGAGCCAUGAGGUUUAUAGAACACCAUCAUCAAGGUCAAGGUAGUUGGCCAGAAACCAAACAGCGCCGACCAAGGUAAAUAGGGGGUACGAUUUUUAGCAUCCCAAUCGCGCCUUUCGAGCUAAGCCCACAAUCGACUGUCGCGCCAUCCUUUUUCGGACUUAAAUAACAAGGUGAAGAGCGGGAUCUGGCCGCUACAACCUGCAUGCAACAUUCACAACAAGGGAAGCCAAGAAAUAACAACACAACAAUAACUAAUAGUUAAUCAGAUCAACCGAUCCAUCUCUAUUUUCCUCAGGUUUAUAAAAAAUACGAACAAAACUAAAUAGAAUAAAAAACCAAAACAAAAUGAAAACAAAGAAAUCCAGAAAAUACAUCACCAGGAGGUGGGGAGGGUAGCACACUCUCCGGGCUGGUCUCCUGCGCCGUCUGGGUAGGAGGGACCAAUUAGCGACUGUAAAGGAGAGACAAGCUCUCAGGGAGGGACCGAUUAGCGAGCGUAAAGGAGAGACAAGCUCUCAGGGAAAAGAGAAGAGAAAAAAAGAGAGUGUCGAUUACAUGGGGCAUGCAUUUCAAACGCUUUAUUUAGCCAAUUUGCAUA